UGACCCAUUAUCACCAUAUUUGUUCUUGUUAUGUGCAGAGGUAUUAAGUCAGAUGUUGAGUAAGGCCGAGAGUCUACAAAAGUUUCAAGAGCAACUCCUGCAGAUUGUAUACAGAUUGCUUCUAUUCUAUACGAAUAUGAAAGGCUAUCCGGACAAAAGGAGGAGGAGGUAAAUACUUGGGAUUACCGGAGCAGUUUGGUCGCAGAAAGAAGGAA
Molecule: long non-coding RNA, 215 nt
Organism: Eutrema salsugineum
Lineage: Eukaryota; Viridiplantae; Streptophyta; Magnoliopsida; Brassicales; Brassicaceae
Exons: 3
Source: RefSeq, a predicted model, not a curated record